AUUGAACGCUGGCGGCAUGCCUUACACAUGCAAGUCGAACGGCAGCACGGGGGCAACCCUGGUGGCGAGUGGCGAACGGGUGAGUAACAUAUCGGAACAUACCCUAGAGUGGGGGAUAACGUAGCGAAAGUUACGCUAAUACCGCAUACGAUCUAAGGAUGAAAGUGGGGGAUCUUCGGACCUCAUGCUCAUGGAGUGGCCGAUAUCUGAUUAGCUAGUUGGUGAGGUAAAGGCUCACCAAGGCGACGAUCAGUAGCUGGUUUGAGAGAACGACCAGCCACACUGGAACUGAGACACGGUCCAGACUCCUACGGAGGCAGCAGUGGGGAAUUUUGGGACAAUGGGGGCAACCCUGAUCCAGCAAUGCCGCGUGAGUGAAGAAGGCCUUCGGGUUGUAAAGGCUCUUUUGUUCUAGGGAAGGAAACGGGUAGGAGGUUCUAAUACAGACUUG
This 451-nucleotide ribosomal RNA is filed under the name uncultured bacterium. RNAcentral describes it as "bacterial SSU rRNA". It matches the Rfam family "Bacterial small subunit ribosomal RNA", at positions 30 to 480 of the family's 1533-position model. The record is from RNAcentral.